Molecule: ribosomal RNA, 253 nt
Filed under: uncultured bacterium
Lineage: Bacteria
Description: partial 16S ribosomal RNA
Rfam family: Bacterial small subunit ribosomal RNA
Source: RNAcentral
GACGAGGGAUCCUAGCGUUGCCCGGAAUUAUUGGGCGUAAAGCGGGUGUAGGUGGCUUGGUAAGUCGGGUGUGAAAGCCCUCGGCUCAACCGAGGAAGUGCGCCCGAAACUGCAGAGCUUGAGUGCCGGAGAGGGUGGCGGAAUUCCCCAAGUAGAGGUGAAAUUCGUAGAUAUGGGGAGGAACACCAGUGGCGAAGGCGGCCACCUGGACGGUUACUGACGCUGAGACGCGAAAGCGUGGGGAGCAAACAGG